GGGAUAACCCGGAGAAGUCCGGCCUAAUACCGCAUGUGGCCGAGGGGAGGCAUCUUCUUUCGGCCAAAGGAGGCAACUCCGGAGACGGAUGGGCAUGCGUGACAUUAGCUUGUUGGCGGGGUAACGGCCCACCAAGGCGACGAUGUCUAGGGGUUCUGAGAGGAAGGUCCCCCACACUGGUACUGAGACACGGACCAGACUCCUACGGGAGGCAGCAGUGAGGAAUAUUGGUCAAUGGGCGAGAGCCUGAACCAGCCAAGUCGCGUGAAGGAUGACGGCCCUACGGGUUGUAAACUUCUUUUGUCAGGGAGCAAUUGAGUCCACGUGUGGGCUUAGCGAGAGUACCUGAAGAAAAAGCAUCGGCUAACUCCGUGCCAGCAGCCGCGGUAAUACGGAGGAUGCGAGCGUUAUCCGGAUUUAUUGGGUUUAAAGGGUGCGUAGGCGGAAUAUCAAGUCAGCGGUAAAAAUUCGGGGCUCAACCCCGUCGUGCCGUUGAAACUGAUGUUCUUGAGUGGGCGAGAAGUAUGCGGAAUGCGUGGUGUAGCGGUGAAAUGCAUAGAUAUCACGCAGAACUCCGAUUGCGAAGGCAGCAUACCGGCGCCCAACUGACGCUGAAGCACGAAAGCGUGGGUAUCGAACAGGAUUAGAUACCCUGGUAGUCCACGCAGUAAACGAUGCAUGAUAGUUGUCCGGA
This 694-nucleotide ribosomal RNA is filed under the name uncultured bacterium. Its description in RNAcentral is "bacterial SSU rRNA". It matches the Rfam family "Bacterial small subunit ribosomal RNA", at positions 140 to 828 of the family's 1533-position model. The record is from RNAcentral.